This 275-nucleotide ribosomal RNA is filed under the name uncultured prokaryote. Its description in RNAcentral is "partial 16S ribosomal RNA". It matches the Rfam family "Bacterial small subunit ribosomal RNA", at positions 524 to 798 of the family's 1533-position model. The record is from RNAcentral.
UACGUAGGUGGCAAGCGUUGUCCGGAUUUACUGGGCGUAAAGGGAGCGUAGGCGGAUUUUUAAGUGAGAUGUGAAAUACCCGGGCUUAACUUGGGUGCUGCAUUUCAAACUGGAAGUCUAGAGUGCAGGAGAGGAGAAGGGAAUUCCUAGUGUAGCGGUGAAAUGCGUAGAGAUUAGGAAGAACACCAGUGGCGAAGGCGCUUCUCUGGACUGUAACUGACGCUGAGGCUCGAAAGCGUGGGGAGCAAACAGGAUUAGAUACCCGCGUAGUCCCU